This is a non-coding RNA of Streptomyces sp. Tu6071, 75 nucleotides long. The record is from Rfam. Lineage: Bacteria; Bacillati; Actinomycetota; Actinomycetes; Kitasatosporales; Streptomycetaceae.
GGACCCGUACCCCAGCUGGCUAGAGGGACUGGGUUUAGGUCCCAGGUGUCAUGGGUUCGAAUCCCAUCGGGUUCA